RNAcentral lists this ribosomal RNA (366 nucleotides) under uncultured soil bacterium. Its description in RNAcentral is "bacterial SSU rRNA". It matches the Rfam family "Bacterial small subunit ribosomal RNA", at positions 26 to 424 of the family's 1533-position model. The record is from RNAcentral.
AGAGCGAACGCUGGCGGCAGGCUUAACACAUGCAAGUCGAGCGCCCCGCAAGGGGAGCGGCAGACGGGUGAGUAACGCGUGGGAACGUGCCUUUUGGUUCGGAACAACCCAGGGAAACUUGGGCUAAUACCGGAUAAGCCCUUACGGGGAAAGAUUUAUCGCCAAAAGAUCGGCCCGCGUCUGAUUAGCUAGUUGGUGGGUAAUGGCCCACCAAGGCUACGAUCAGUAGCUGGUCUGAGAGGAUGAUCAGCCACACUGGGACUGAGACACGGCCCAGACUCCUACGGGAGGCAGCAGUGGGGAAUAUUGGACAAUGGGGCAACCCUGAUCCAGCCAUACCGCGUGUGUGAAGAAAGGCCUUGGGUU